Molecule: ribosomal RNA, 645 nt
Filed under: uncultured bacterium
Lineage: Bacteria
Description: bacterial SSU rRNA
Rfam family: Bacterial small subunit ribosomal RNA
Source: RNAcentral
CGCGGCCUAUCAGCUUGUUGGUGGGGUAAUGGCCUACCAAGGCGGCGACGGGUAACCGGCCUGAGAGGGUGUACGGCCACAUUGGGACUGAGAUACGGCCCAGACUCCUACGGGAGGCAGCAGUGGGGAAUAUUGCACAAUGGGCGCAAGCCUGAUGCAGCGACGCCGCGUGGGGGAUGAAGGCCUUCGGGUUGUAAACUCCUUUCGCUAGGGACGAAGCUUUUUGUGACGGUACCUAGAUAAGAAGCACCGGCUAACUACGUGCCAGCAGCCGCGGUAAUACGUAGGGUGCGAGCGUUGUCCGGAAUUACUGGGCGUAAAGGGCUCGUAGGUGGUUUGUCGCGUCGUCUGUGAAAUUCUGGGGCUUAACUCCGGGCGUGCAGGCGAUACGGGCAUAACUUGAGUGCUGUAGGGGUAACUGGAAUUCCUGGUGUAGCGGUGAAAUGCGCAGAUAUCAGGAGGAACACCGAUGGCGAAGGCAGGUUACUGGGCAGUUACUGACGCUGAGGAGCGAAAGCAUGGGUAGCGAACAGGAUUAGAUACCCUGGUAGUCCAUGCCGUAAACGGUGGGCGCUAGGUGUGAGGGUCUUUCUACGACUUUCGUGCCGUAGCUAACGCAUUAAGCGCCCCGCCUGGGGAGUACGG